Molecule: long non-coding RNA, 250 nt
Filed under: Elaeis guineensis (African oil palm)
Lineage: Eukaryota; Viridiplantae; Streptophyta; Magnoliopsida; Arecales; Arecaceae
Description: long non-coding RNA (EGUI_LNC056459)
Source: RNAcentral
AUGCUUCUCUAAGCAUAUUGCAGCAACUUGGUCUCUAACUUAUUUGAGCUCACCUAAUAGUUAUUGACUAUACUCCUUAGUUAAAUCCGACCCACCAUUUACAAGCAGAUGCAAAGCCGUCAUUGGAUCUCUCACCUAAUAGUUAUUGGGCCCAACCCCAUCCUUAUCUUGGAGCAACUCUUUGCUAAUAGAAUGGCUGCAUGUUUUCGAUGCAACUGAACCACUAUGACCAGUCGAGAACAAUCAACAC